GUGCCAGCAGCCGCGGUAAUACGUAGGCAGCGAGCGUUGUUCGGAGUUACUGGGCGUAAAGAGUGCGUAGGCGGUGCUCUAAGUUUGGUGUGAAAUCUCCCGGCUCAACUGGGAGGGUGCGCCGAAAACUGGAGUGCUCGAGUAUGGGAGAGGUAAGCGGAAUUCCUGGUGUAGCGGUGAAAUGCGUAGAUAUCAGGAGGAACACCUGCGGUGUAGACGGCUUACUGGACCAUGACUGACGCUGAGGCACGAAAGCGUGGGGAGCAAACAGGAUUAGAUACCCUGGUAGUCC
RNAcentral lists this ribosomal RNA (292 nucleotides) under uncultured bacterium. Its description in RNAcentral is "partial 16S ribosomal RNA". It matches the Rfam family "Bacterial small subunit ribosomal RNA", at positions 505 to 796 of the family's 1533-position model. The record is from RNAcentral.